UGCAGUGUUGCUGCCGGAGCUCCGCCUGUCACACUGACAGGCAGCAUGAGCAGAAGCUCUUCACACUAUGGUCUCCCCCCACGCUCCUCCCCGCUGCACUAGUCAAAACAGGCAGCAGUGUCGCCCCUCCAGUCCUCCCUCCCCACUGAAGACACAGCAUCUUCAGCAUCACUCACCCCUCCUUCACGUAUGGGACAGCAAUGCACAGACAGGAAGUCAUGUGAUGUACACCUGACUGUGCACUGACUGGAGGAGCCAGCAGCGACAGGAAGAGGAGCAGCCAGCCACACAGACUGAGGAAGACUCUGCAGAGGCUCAGUUCAAGAUUAUCGGUGGACUGCACAUGCAAGUUGCAAUGCAUUGUGCAUGUGUCUCGAUGAGAGGAAUUAUUCACAAAGUGAUUGAAAGUCAGGGACCAUUUUGGAGAGAUUUUGGAAGAGAGUCAUCAAAAACACAGCUGUUCCAGUAACCAAGACCCAUGCAAGUACAGACCAAUGCAAGCAGAGAGCCACAGAAGCACAGACCCACGCAAGCAGAGGAAGCUAUCCUAUAUAAUAAAAGGCUAAGGCUGCUCCUCACCUCUUUUAUGUGCACUGCCAGCCUCUAGAGGCCGCCCCAUGGACCAAAUGAGCUGUCACACCUGAAAGUGAAAGUGAUACUGCAGAGAGAUUUUUCAGCCUACUAAACUGCUGCUGCUAAUAUUAAUAAUACUGAUCUGAUUGUUUCACACUUGCUGCAUACAGAAAGAGGGGCCAGGGAAAGAGCGA
Molecule: long non-coding RNA, 767 nt
Organism: Pseudophryne corroboree (corroboree frog)
Lineage: Eukaryota; Metazoa; Chordata; Amphibia; Anura; Myobatrachidae
Exons: 3
Source: RefSeq, a predicted model, not a curated record